UGUCAGGAGUUAGGAAAUGCAGGAGCGUUAAUAGCGUUCUUGCUUGACUAAGGCUCCAGAGGAAGCCACGGCUAACUCUGUGCCAGCAGCCGCGGUAAUACAGAGGCGGCAAGCGUUGUUCGGAAUUAUUGGGCGUAAAGAGCACGUAGGCGGCCUUGCAAGUCAGUUGUGAAAGCCUUCCGCUCAACGGAAGAAUGCCAGCUGAUACUACAGGGCUUGAGUACGGGAGGGGAGAGUGGAACUUCUGGUA
Molecule: ribosomal RNA, 250 nt
Filed under: uncultured anaerobic ammonium-oxidizing bacterium
Lineage: Bacteria
Description: partial 16S ribosomal RNA
Rfam family: Bacterial small subunit ribosomal RNA
Source: RNAcentral